Molecule: ribosomal RNA, 500 nt
Filed under: uncultured bacterium
Lineage: Bacteria
Description: bacterial SSU rRNA
Rfam family: Bacterial small subunit ribosomal RNA
Source: RNAcentral
AUUGAACGCUGGCGGCAUGCCUUACACAUGCAAGUCGAACGGCAGCACGGGGCAACCUGGUGGCGAGUGGCGAACGGGUGAGUAAUGUAUCGGAACGUACCAUUCAGUGGGGGAUAACGUAGCGAAAGUUACGCUAAUACCGCAUACGUCCUGAGGGAGAAAGCGGGGGACCGAAAGGCCUCGCGCGAUUGGAGCGGCCGAUGUCGGAUUAGCUAGUUGGUAGGGUAAAGGCCUACCAAGGCGACGAUCCGUAGCGGGUCUGAGAGGAUGAUCCGCCACACUGGGACUGAGACACGGCCCAGACUCCUACGGGAGGCAGCAGUGGGGAAUUUGGACAAUGGGCGCAAGCCUGAUCCAGCCAUGCCGCGUGAGUGAAGAAGGCCUUCGGGUUGUAAAGCUCUUUCAGGUGGAAAGAAAACGCAUGGGUCAAUACCCUGUGUGGAUGACGGUACCAUCAGAAGAAGCACCGGCUAACUACGUGCCAGCAGCCGCGUAAAACG